This 465-nucleotide ribosomal RNA is filed under the name uncultured bacterium. Its description in RNAcentral is "partial 16S ribosomal RNA". It matches the Rfam family "Bacterial small subunit ribosomal RNA", at positions 28 to 507 of the family's 1533-position model. The record is from RNAcentral.
GACGAACGCUGGCGGCGUGCUUAACACAUGCAAGUCGAACGGAAAGGCCCCUUUGGGGGUCCUCGAGUGGCGAACGGGUGUGUAACACGUGAGUAACCUGCCCUUGACUUCGGGAUAACUUCAGGAAACUGGGGCUAAUACCGGAUAGGAAUCCUUGCUGCAUGGUGGGGGUUGGAAAGCUUCGGCGGUUUUGGAUGGACUCGCGGCUUAUCAGCUUGUUGGUGGGGUAGUGGCUUACCAAGGCUUUGACGGGUAGCCGGCCUGAGAGGGCGACCGGCCACAUUGGGACUGAGAUACGGCCCAGACUCCUACGGGAGGCAGCAGGGGGGAAUAUUGCACAAGGGGCGGAAGCCUGAUGCAGCAACGCCGCGUGCGGGAGGACGGCCUUCGGGUUGUAAACCGCUUUCAGCAGGGGCGAAGCUUGUGGUGACGGUACCUGCAGAAGAAGCACCGGCUAACUACGUG